This 255-nucleotide ribosomal RNA is filed under the name uncultured bacterium. RNAcentral's name for it is "partial 16S ribosomal RNA". It matches the Rfam family "Bacterial small subunit ribosomal RNA", at positions 524 to 776 of the family's 1533-position model. The record is from RNAcentral.
UACGGGGGGCGCAAGCGUUGUUCGGAUUUACUGGGCGUAAAGGGCGCGUAGGCGGCCACCACAAGUCACUUGUGAAAUCUCCGGGCUUAACCCGGUAGCGGCCAAGUGAUACUGUUGGGCUAGAGUGCGGAAGGGGCAACUGGAAUUCUCGGUGUAGCGGUGAAAUGCGUAGAUAUCGAGAGGAACACCUGCGGCGAAGGCGGGUUGCUGGGCCGACACUGACGCUGAGGCGCGAAAGCUAGGGGAGCGAACGGG